UCAACGACUCAGUUCAUGGCCACAUUGACUUUUGCCCUCUGCUGGUCAAAAUCAUAGAUACCCCACAGUUUCAGAGACUACGCUUCAUCAAGCAACUUGGCUGUUGCUACUUUGUCUUCCCAGGAGCAGCACACAAUAGAUUUGAACACUCACUAGGGGUCUGCUACCUUGCCGGAGAGCUUGUCCUUUCUCUUCAACGCAAGCAGCCAGAGCUAAACAUCACCAACAAGGAUAUCCUCUGUGUGCAGAUUGCUGGGCUUUGCCAUGAUCUUGGUCAUGGUCCUUUUUCCCAUGUGUUUGACUCAUUCGUCAUUCCUUCCUUCGGACUCGAGGAGAAACUCAAG
This is a long non-coding RNA of Lytechinus pictus (painted urchin), 344 nucleotides long. RefSeq lists it as uncharacterized. The transcript has 3 exons. NCBI's taxonomy places the organism in Eukaryota, Metazoa, Echinodermata, Echinoidea, Temnopleuroida, Toxopneustidae. The record is from RefSeq and is a predicted model, not a curated record.